Molecule: RNase P RNA, 345 nt
Filed under: bovine gut metagenome
Description: Bacterial RNase P class A
Rfam family: Bacterial RNase P class A
About the family: Ribonuclease P (RNase P) is a ubiquitous endoribonuclease, found in archaea, bacteria and eukarya as well as chloroplasts and mitochondria. Its best characterised activity is the generation of mature 5'-ends of tRNAs by cleaving the 5'-leader elements of precursor-tRNAs.
Source: RNAcentral
CGAGCGGUCGCUCCGGCUUCGGCCGGGGAGGAAAGUCCGGACUCCAUAGGGCGGGAUGUCCCGUGGUCAACGCGGGAAGGGCGCCGCGAUACCGGCGCCGAUGGAAAGUGCCACAGAAAACAAACCGCCUUCCGCUCCGGCGGGAGGCAAGGGUGAAAAGGCGGUGCAAGAGACCACCGGGCCCGCGCGAAAGCGGAGCCGCAUGGCAAACCCCAUCCGGAGCAAGAUCAAAUAGGGAGGUGAGGCGCUGCCCGCGCCGUUCGGUCCGCCGAUAAAUCUCCGGGUUGAUCGCGUUAGAAAAAUGAUCGCGCGUCAGCGAUGACGACAGAAUCUGGCUUAUGAACA